This is a long non-coding RNA of Rhineura floridana, 1150 nucleotides long. RefSeq lists it as uncharacterized. The transcript is spliced from 2 exons. The record is from RefSeq and is a predicted model, not a curated record. Lineage: Eukaryota; Metazoa; Chordata; Lepidosauria; Squamata; Rhineuridae.
AUACAAGGUUACUAUUUCAGAACUAGUUCCCCGUUUUCUUCUGUUAAGAAUUGCACACUGUGUGACCUAUGAAUAGGAUUCAGCUUCAACUUAUUGGCCUGCAUCCAGCCCAUCACUGCCUCCAAGCACUAGUCUAACACCUCAACUGCUUGUUCCAAUUCCAAUCGGAGAGACGAGAGCUGGGUAUUAUCCACAUAUUGGUGACACCUCACUCCAAAUCUCCUGAUGACAGCUCCCAAUGGCUUCAUCUAGAUGUUAAAAAACAUGGGGGACAAGAUGCAAUCCUAAGGACAACUCCCAUGGUGCUGAACUGUAGCCUCCUAUAACUGCUCUCUGGAAAUGGUCAUGAAAGUAGGAGAGGAACCAUUGAAGGGCAGUGCCCCAAACCCCCACCUCCCUGAGAUGCUCCAAAUGGAAACCGUAGUCAACAGUAUCCAAAGCUGCCAAGAGAUGAAGAAGGAAUAGGGUUGCACUCCCCCCAUCUCUCUCCCGACAAAUGUCAUCAACCAAGAUAGUUUUAGUGCCAUGACUGGGACUGAAGCCAGACUGGAAUGGAUCUCAGUAAUCAGUUUCCGCCAAGUAUGCUUGAAGCUGGACCAUCACCACCUUCUCAAGCACCUUGUUCAAAAAGGGGGUAUUUGCCACUGGGCAAUAGUUAACACUUCUGGGUCAAGAGAGAUGUUCUUAAGAAGGGGACACACCACUGCCUCCUUCGAGGUCCAUGGUACUCCCCCACCUCCAGUGAAGCAUUGAUCACUCCCUGGACCCACCUACUCAACACCCUAUGGAAUAUGGCUCUAAGAAGCCUAGAUGGGCAGGGGUUAAGGGGGUAGAUGGUCAAGCAACUUGUCAAUGUUCUCAGGCUAUAUCUUAUCCAGUACAGAUGGAUCAAAAAGUGCCCUGGAUGCCUCCAAUGGACUUGCUCUUACUAUGGCAUCCAACAUCCGAAUCUGAGGAACUUUGUCCCUAAAGUGCCUUACAAAAUUGUUACAGCCAGCUGCUGACGAUGUCAAGUUUCAAAUCAGUCCAUUGAACCAUUUUAACUAUAAGCCGUAUAACCUUCCCGCCCCCCAAUUUCUCAUUAUGAUUGUGAAACGCAAUGCAGCCCUCACUCGUAACACAAUCCUAUAAUAAACCUUUUAAUUAAUUA